This 48-nucleotide non-coding RNA is filed under the name Trichobilharzia regenti. The record is from RNAcentral. Lineage: Eukaryota; Metazoa; Platyhelminthes; Trematoda; Strigeidida; Schistosomatidae.
AUCCAGAUGACCAGUCCUAAAUAGGACGAAAUACGCGUUAUCCUGGAU